CCUACGGGUGGCUGCAGUGGGGAAUAUUGGACAAUGGGCGAAAGCCUGAUCCAGCCAUGCCGCGUGUGUGAAGAAGGCCUUCGGGUUGUAAAGCACUUUCAGUGGGGAAGAAAGCCUUGGGGCUAAUACCCUCGAGGAAGGACAUCACCCACAGAAGAAGCACCGGCUAACUCCGUGCCAGCAGCCGCGGUAAUACGGAGGGUGCGCGGCGUUAAUCGGAAUUACUGGGCGUAAAGCGCGCGUAGGCGGUCUGAUAAGCCGGUUGUGAAAGCCCCGGGCUCAACCUGGGAACGGCAUCCGGAACUGUCAGGCUAGAGUGCAGGAGAGGAAGGUAGAAUUCCCGGUGUAGCGGAGAAAUGCGUAGAGAUCGGGAGGAAUACCAGUGGCGAAGGCGGCCUUCUGGACUGACACUGACGCUGAGGUGCGAAAGCGUGGGUAGCAAACAGGAUUAGAUACCCUGGUAGUC
RNAcentral lists this ribosomal RNA (466 nucleotides) under Vreelandella stevensii. RNAcentral's name for it is "partial 16S ribosomal RNA". It matches the Rfam family "Bacterial small subunit ribosomal RNA", at positions 338 to 795 of the family's 1533-position model. Lineage: Bacteria; Pseudomonadati; Pseudomonadota; Gammaproteobacteria; Oceanospirillales; Halomonadaceae. The record is from RNAcentral.